Long non-coding RNA from Felis catus (domestic cat), 6435 nucleotides. RefSeq lists it as uncharacterized. The record is from RefSeq and is a predicted model, not a curated record. The transcript is spliced from 4 exons. Lineage: Eukaryota; Metazoa; Chordata; Mammalia; Carnivora; Felidae.
UCACCGCCCAACCUCCCCGGCCUUUGAGUCUAUUUAACAUUGGUCAGGGAGCGAUUUAGCAGGUUCCUUGGGUCUCUGUUGCUCUGCUGGAGAGGAAAUUCAUUUGCAGGGUAAUUUUUAAAGCCUUUUACAUAAAUUUGAUUCCAGAAAUGAACCUUUUGAUUCCUCAAAGAAGAAAAGGUAGAACUUGAAAGGUGUUAAUUACCUUGCCUAUGAAAUGGGCAAAAUGUGAAUUCUGGCUCUCGGGGCAAAGGGGCAGGACAGAUUAUUGGCACAUCAAGGACCCCUACCUUUUCUACUUUGUGUCUGAGAUGGAUCAAAAGUCAGCAGAGGUGUGGCCUCGACCCCGGAUCAAGUACAUUGCCCCCCUCCGUUUGUUUUCUAAGCCCCCAAACUGCCCAGGCAGAAUCUCCAGCCUUGGUCCCAUCAGCAGCAGAGAACGGCCUGACUGGUGCCCUGGGGGCUCUGCUGUGUCUUCCUGGUGCAGGGCAGGGGCUGCCUAGCCAUGUGGGAGCAGUGCUGAGACACUACAGGCUGGCCCGUGGGGGUUGGGACCUCAGGAGGACAGAGGUGACUUGGCGGCUUUGAGAGAGGACAGAUCAGCAAUAACUGCUGCUGACACAGCCACAGAGCGAGGCUGGUCUGGCGGAGAGCGGACACCACAGCUUCCUUCUCAAACGGGCCCCCUCGUGUCAAUAAGUCUGAGGGAGCCAGAUCUGUUUCUUGCCACAGAGGCGGCAGGAAAUAAAUACACGGCCCUUUGACCACUCCUUCCUUCUUUCUUCGAAAAAAGCCUUCUCUUUUCACCUGCGACGCACGUUGGGAUUUCAAGUACGAAUUCAUCCCACGAGGAAGGAGACGUGCGGCCGGAUGCGGUCUAACAACACAGCGCCGGACCCCAACACAGCGCUGCCAUGGUUCUGACUGUGAAGAGGGAAGCCAGAAGGCAAGUGGACAAGAGGGCGAAGUGGAAAUUCGAAUUGCUGGAGCCUCUGCAUCGGAAACAUUACCUCUCUCCUCGUGAUAGCUUGGACAGGAGCGCGCAGUCCAUGACAAAGAGAGUUGGAUGUGUCUUUGCCGGAGCCUCUCCAAACCUCCCUCCUUUUGCCUCAGGCUGGGUUGGCUUCUUGGACCCUGAGAUCAUUUUCUUUCCUCCUCCGGAGCACUACCCCCGCUCUGAUCAGGAAUCUUACUGUCGUAGCACAUCGUCAGACCCAGGGACCUCUCUCCCUGGCUUGCCCUGCAUUCUACGUCCAGCACCAGCUCGCGUUGGGGUUGUCGUCUGCUCUCUAGAAGCCGCUUGCAUUGUCCCCACUUCCCCGAGCUGUGACUUGGUCGGGACCUGAGUGCCGGAGCCGACAGAGGCAGCCAAUCCCAUCUGUCCACCAGGGAAUGAACAACCAGAGACGUGAAAAGCUCUUCAGCUCCAGAUCAGCACCAAAAAAAAGACUUUCCAUUCUAACCGUACCUCGGUUCCAGAACAGAGUAAAUUCCACCACCCGCCCUGUAGUCAGAAAUGCGUCCUGGGUGCGUAGAAAGUCACCUCGGGACGCAAGAAUUCUUUCUCUUUCUCUCUCUCUCCUUCCCUCCCUUCCUCCCUUCUUUACGGAAAUACUCCUCGAGCACGUGUGAUGAAGAAGAAACUACAGACAAAGGAGGUGGGGAGUGAAGACAGAGGUUUGAGCUCCCCAGUGGGAGACGCGGAAACAUCAGGCAACAGUUACGAAGUGGUGCAUUAAGUGCCUUCAGAGAAGAGACAGAGGAUGCUGGGAGUGUAAGGAAGGGGCGCCUUAUCCAACGGGGCAAUAAAUAAGCAACCGAUGUCAGCGAAGCUUCCUGGGGGAGGAGAUGCUCAAGCCUUAAGAACAGGGCGGGGCAUAGAACGCGAGCAGGGUGCUCUGGGUGCUCUGUAAUUCCGCUCAAUUCUGACACUAUCUAGGGAGAGCAUCUGAUCCUCCACGAGAAGGGCUCAGUCCCACAACGCUGCCCCCACACUUCAGGUGCCCGGCACAGAUCCAGGUGGUCACGUGGUCUUCCGAGGCCAAAGACCCAUUUCUCGAGUUCCUUUCAUUCGCUGGAGUGGCUCACUCAGGGAGAACCCGGGGAGAUACUUUACUUUCUGGGUUACCAGUUUAUUAUGAGAGGGUAUAACUCAGGAACAGACAGAUGUCAGGGAUGCACAGGGCCAGAGACGGGGGAAGGGAACAGAUCUUCACUCUCAUCUCAGAAUGCCACUCUCUUCUGCAUUUCCAUGCGUUCACCGGGUCACCGACCCAGAAGCUCUCCAAACCCUGUCUUGUUUAUUUACUUUUUUUUUAGGGAGGCCUCGUUGUGUCGGCAUGAUUGAUUAGAAUAUUGGCCAUCAGUGACCGAGUCAACCUCUAGCCCCUCUCCCUCCUUGGAGGUUGGGGGUGGGGCCAUAAAUUCCAACCUUCUAAUCACAAGGUUGGCUGCCCAGGUGACCAGUGCCAUUGUGAGGUGCAGUCCCAGAGUAGCCUCAUUGGUAUAAUAAGAGACACCUUUAUCGUUCUCAACAUUGGAAAUGCCGAGCGUUUUGGGAGCUCUGCGCAGAAACGGGGACAAAGACCAAACACGUAUUUCUUAAUUAUAAACCACGUGGUCACAGGUGCAACGCCACUGCUUGGGCGAAGCUGACACAGGGGAAGGGAAAGACCCUUUGCUUCCCGCAGAACCUAACGGGGACCAGCGGGCACCGUGGUUUGCAGAACCCCACCAGGAGCGUCACAAAGCAGAGCAUAGACCGUCGGUGCGCCGCCGAGGGCUAAGAGCUAAAGAAUCGGCCCAACGCUCUGGGUGCCGUGUGGGGAGGGAAUCAAAAGGGUAGGGGAUCCAGCGAGGAAGAGGGCAUCCUUCUCUGGUGAGGACACUGUGGGAGCCCGGGGUCAGGCCAGGAAGAGGAGUAGAGCUGAAAUGAAGAACCGUGGAGGUCCAAUCACCCAGGGGUGCAGCACAGAAGGACGGGUGGGAAGCAAGGUGAGCCGCAGACACCUACUUGGGUAGGAGGGGACAGUGGUGGCACUGUUCCCAGAAUAAGGCAUGUGGGGGAAGAGGCAAAUGAAGAAUUAGGAGAGAAAGAGGGGAAGAAGCAGGCGUUCUUCCUCUGCUUAUCGACUUCUAAGAACGGGAAGGUCACUCCUCUGCAAGACGUCGUUCCGCUGUUGGCGAGAACGGCUAACGACCUUGCCCUUUGGUGAAAGAAACAACCUGCCUUUGCGCAGCUGCUAUGCACAGAUCCUAAUGCUGCCCUCCAGAGCAGCCUAGAAAGUUUAUUUUCUCCCAGACAAAUAUUUGAAAGCAAUAGUUAGCCAAAGGAAUGAGUAAGAGGUACGUUAGGACUCGUAAUUCAACAUAAGAUGCUCGGAGUGUUUGUUUGUUUUGGCCAAAAGCCGCACUAGCUAAGCUCCUGUUAAUAGCAGGCUGUGGCUUGAGGCAGAGAGGGGAGGUGACGGAUGCCUCCAGACCGGGGCUUUCCAGGGACCUCGAUUAACAGGAGGAUACGACGGAGUCAAAUGCCAGCCCCUCGGAGGCCCAUGCUGGGAUAGACAGGGGAGUCUCAAAGGGUCAGCCGACAUAUGCUACUGAGAGGAGGAAGAUGCGAUGGACAGAGUGUGGUCUUAGCCUCAGACAUUCUCUGGUCGAGAAGAGGUGCCUGAUAACGCCUGUGGGGAAACACACCUUCUCGCUGCUGAAAUAUCAGACCAGAGGAGACAUAAAUCCCACCCAUGGCCGCCAUGCAGAGACCGAUGAGGAGCCUUGGGAGGCCCUGAGGGGCCAGAGGAGACCUUGGGAAGAACCCUUGUACCUGUGCCCACGGAAGACGCAAUGAUUGAGAUUGUGGGGGGCAAAAAGGCUGUGGGGACUGAGAGUGAUAAGAAAGAUAGGAUUUCUGAUAAAUCCCUCAUGCUAGUUUACUAGGGCCGCCAUAACAGGUUCCCACAGACGGGGUGGCUUAAGGAACAGAAAUUUGUCUUCUCGUGGUCCUGGAGGUUGGAAGUCUGAGACCAAGGUGUCCGCAGGGUUGGUUCCUUCUGAGGCCCCUCUCUUUGGCUCGUCUUCUCCCCCCGUCCUUCCCUGUGUGUGAGUACCUGCUCUAUCUUUUCUUAAGGGGAGCCAUGUUGGAUUAGGCCCCACCCGAAUGACCUCAUUUCACCUUAAUUAUACCUAUUUAAAGACCUUAUCUUCAAAUACAAUCCCAUUCUGAGAUAUUCGGGGUUCAAACUUCAACAUGCGAAUUUUGGGGAGGGACACAAUUUAGGUAACACGCGUUACUGCUAAUGCUCUUUGGACAGUGCUCAUUCUCAUCUCAAGCCCUGAACACAACGGAUCUAUUAUAACUGAAUAGCACACGUGGUCUGGACCCGUCCCCAAAGCAUCCCUCAUUUGUUUCGAUGACUUCUGAUCACCGUGGCCACGGCAGACCCACAGUAUCCUUCCAGGCUCUGCCUAAAAAUGCAGCCUGAGUUAACAGCUCUCAGUAAGCUGGGAAAUAUUUGUGAAUGAAAUCUAUCAAAACCUAGCAAACUCAUUAUUCAUGCUGUGUCAUAUGGAAUGAUAACCUGUUGUCUCGCUUUUUUUUUCCCGGAAGCCUAUAUAGAUUUUUAAAUUUUGGUCCAGCGGGAGGUAGAUAUUAAUGAUCUUUAGGAGAAAAAGUUAAUAAUUCAAUAUGAUGCAUCAUGGCACUUCUGUACAAAUGUGGAUCUGUCAAUGUUUCAAGAGGUUUAGAGAAGGAAGUGAUGUGACAUGUUCUUUUGCUCGUAGGUCCUCUGAAAAAGGCAAAGGAAGCCUAAUCCAUCAAGAAACCUGCUGAGUUCUUUCUAAAUUUUUCGAAGCAUGAAUACCCAAUAUAGAUAUCUUUAUAUUUUCCCUGUUGGAUUUCUAAUUUUAAAUAGGCAUGAAGACUUGUUUCUUAUAUUGCCGGACCUAUAAAAUUUACACUGAAGCUUGCUAUUAUACUCAAACAUAAAAUAUCAUACAUUUUUUUUUAUCUCACAUGAAAAACCAAAUUCAUCAGAAACUUAUGAAUUCAAGGUUGCCUAAGAGCUUCUGAUUCCUAAGGCUUUUUAAAAGAUUAUAGUUUUACUCCACAUGCCUACAGAGGAGGUUUCGUAUUAUUAAUAAUAAUGGCUAACAUUCAUAAAGUUUUUACUCCGGGCCAGGCACUCUGCUAUGUAUUUUACAUGGCAUCAUUUCAUUGAAUUCUAACUACAUAUUCCCAAAGCUUAGAGAGCUCGCAUAACUUGUCCAAAGUCACGUUAACUAGAAAGUGUGGGAGCUGAGAGUCAAACCCAAGGCUGCUUGUCUCCACAGCCUGACUCUCCCAAUUCCAUGCCACACAACCUCCUGUAUUAUGGGGAGCAGUGGGAUCCAAGAUGGCGGCUAGGAAUCCCUACUCUGUCAGCAGAUAUCGACUGCAUGCACUAUGGGGAGACUCUGUGCUAGAUACUGUUUAUACAAAAAUGGAAAAGAAAUUGCCCUUGCUUUCCAGAAGCUCUGAGCCUAGAAGAGGAAGACAGCCACAUACAGAGUAGACUGGCCCAUGACAUGUUAAAUGACGUAGCAGGAACAGCCCAAAAUAUGUGAGCACAGAGGAAUGUGCAUCUCACUCUGCAGGGGAGGGGGCAGAAGUUUGCAAGAGGUCAUUGACAUUUGCUCUGCGGUUAGAGGUAGGAGUAGGAAUUUGCUAGGCAGAGGAGGUGCCCUCUGAAAGAUGGGGGACUAGGGUUCUGAAAGUGCCCUACUGUGGAGCAGUGAGAAGUUCAGAAGGGAUGUUCAAGAACAACUCUCAGGUUACCAGCUUGGGACGUUUGGUGGAUGGCUGAAAUCAGGCAGAGAAAAAGAAAACAAGUCUAGUGGUGGAGUGUGGAAUUUCUGAGGCUUGCGGUACUUUCAGGGAGAGAUCAAGAAGAAUAAGAAUGCUAGGGGCACGGAUUUGGGCAUCAUCAACAGACAGGGGAUUGUGGGAGCCAAAGUAGUCGAUAAGUCACCCAAGGCUGGGGGGCAUGUAGAACAAGGGACAAGGAUAGCAAAGGUGGAACCCUGGGCAAGAAUGAAAUCUAGGGGCAGUUAGAGAUGGCAGAACUGGACAAGAAGACGGGGAAGACCAUCAUCAAAGAGGUAAGGGGCAUACCAGCAAAGGCUUUGAGACCUAAGAAUGGCCAAUAGUGUUAGAUGCUGCAUAGACCACUGAGGAAGAGGUUGGGAAUAGUCGACUGACCAGUUAUUAGUGUCCCAUUUCAGCAAAAUGGUCCGGGUUGAAGAAGGAAGACAGUGUCUAUGGGGAGACUUGAAUACGUCAAUGAGCCAAGGGGUUGGAAAUGGAGACCCUCGGGUUGAGGUGGUUAGCAAGCAGAGUAAGGUGAGGAACAUGGGGACAGGGCUGAGACCUCUGUCACAGAGAGAGACAGUCUUUGGAGG